Molecule: long non-coding RNA, 563 nt
Filed under: Mus pahari (shrew mouse)
Lineage: Eukaryota; Metazoa; Chordata; Mammalia; Rodentia; Muridae
Description: lncRNA (MGP_PahariEiJ_G0004653.1)
Source: RNAcentral
GAACCAGUGCUUUAGAAACUCCACACAGUUAAGCAGUGUGUCUGCUUACUUGCUGUUAUAUAACUUUAGACUAAAGGACAAUGCUUGACAGAGUCAGUAUUUAAAAAUCUGUCCAAGGUGCCUUUGUUUGGUGUUCUCCGACUAGUGUUUGAGCAGUAUAUGCACAAGGGUUCUUCUCACAGCUGCCAAAACUUGAAUUGGAGAUGCUAGAGAGGAAGAUGUAGAAAAUGGACAAAACAUUGUCCUGUUUCGAUAAGGAUGAACGAGAGCUUACCCUUGCCUCUCUACAUCCACAGCAGCUUGGUGAUUCUGGACCCAGUCUGAAAAUGUAGAAGCUGAGCUGAGACUGAUUUCCAUUGAGCAGUUCUUAAAGUGUGACAUAUGAAGCAGCAGCACUUUAGAUGAUUUUAGGGUGUGUGGACAAACUUUGUUAUCAUGUCAAUUAUAGAUAUAUUUAAUGACCAUAGAAAAUGUUAUUUGUCCCUUAAAUCUCUGCUAUCUGACUGGUGUAUCGUUUUCCCAGAAUGAAACCAAGUAAAAACAGUGAGACUGAAUAAUUGUAC